This 501-nucleotide ribosomal RNA is filed under the name uncultured archaeon. RNAcentral's name for it is "bacterial SSU rRNA". It matches the Rfam family "Archaeal small subunit ribosomal RNA", at positions 896 to 1389 of the family's 1478-position model. The record is from RNAcentral.
UGCGGUUCAAAUNGGAGNUCAACCCCAGAAAUCUUACCCCGGAGAGACCAGCAGAAUGAAGGUCCAAGCUGAAGACUUUUACCAGACAAGCUGAGAGGUGGUGCAUGGCCGUCGCCAGCUCGUGCCGUGAGAUGUCCUGUUAAGUCAGGUAACGAGCGAGAUCCCUGCCUCUAGUUGCCACCAUUACUCUCAGGAGUAGUGGGGCGAAUUAGCGGGACCGCCGCAGUUAAUGCGGAGGAAGGAAGGGGCCACGGCAGGUCAGUAUGCCCCGAAACUCUGGGGCCACACGCGGGCUGCAAUGGUAGCGACAAUUGGUUUCGAAUCCGAAAGGAUGAGGUAAUCCACAAACGCUACCACAGUUAUGACUGAGGGCUGCAACUCGCCCUCACGAAUAUGGAAUCCCUAGUAACUGCGUGUCAUUAUCGCGCGGUGAAUACGUCCCUGCUCCUUGCACACACCGCCCGUCGUUUCAUUGAAGUGAGCUCUUAGCGAGGUGACGUC